Mus musculus (house mouse) is the source of this 6885-nucleotide RNA transcript. It is a transcript of the gene named ATPase, class VI, type 11C, with no coding region annotated. NCBI's taxonomy places the organism in Eukaryota, Metazoa, Chordata, Mammalia, Rodentia, Muridae. The record is from RefSeq and is marked validated. The transcript has 30 exons.
GAGCGCGCGGGCGGGCGGGCGGUUGGGCGGCCGGGGGCGGGGGCGCGCAGAGGCGAGGAGGGCAGGCGGCAGGAGGGCAGGCGGCAGCGGGCUGGCGACAGGGCAGGCGAGCUAGCUGUCCGCUUUGCGCCGCGGGCCCACGCCGCAGUGUGUUUUGUGGACGGCGCCUUCCCAGACAGCCCAGCGGAGCCCAGCCUGGCACCCCGCAGCCUCGGACGCGAUGUUCCGCCGGACCCUCAACCGUUUGUGUGCUGGAGAAGAGAAACGAGUUGGUACACGCACAGUGUUUGUUGGCAAUCAUCCCAUUUCUGGAACAGAACCUUAUAUUGCGCAAAGAUUUUGUGAUAAUAGAAUAGUCUCAUCUAAGUAUACACUUUGGAAUUUCCUCCCUAAGAAUUUGUUUGAACAGUUUAGAAGAAUUGCGAAUUUUUAUUUCCUCAUCAUUUUCCUUGUACAGGUCACAGUAGACACACCAACCAGCCCAGUUACCAGUGGACUUCCACUUUUUUUCGUUAUAACUGUUACAGCAAUCAAGCAGGGGUAUGAAGAUUGGCUUAGACACAGAGCUGAUAAUGAAGUUAACAAAAGUGCUGUUUAUAUUAUUGAAAAUGCAAAGCGAGUGAGGAAAGAAAGUGAAAAAAUCAAGGUUGGUGAUGUAGUAGAAGUACAGGCAAAUGAAACCUUUCCCUGUGAUCUUAUACUUCUGUCAUCCUGCACAACUGAUGGAACCUGUUAUGUCACUACAGCCAGUCUUGAUGGUGAAUCUAAUUGCAAGACACAUUAUGCAGUACGAGAUACCAUUGCACUGUGUACAGCCGAAUCCAUUGAUAAUCUCCGAGCAACAAUUGAAUGUGAGCAGCCUCAACCUGAUCUCUACAGGUUUGUUGGGCGAAUCAGUAUCUAUAGUAAUAGUAUUGAGGCUGUUGCCAGGUCUUUGGGACCUGAAAAUCUUUUGCUGAAAGGAGCCACACUUAAAAAUACCAAGAAGAUAUAUGGAGUUGCUGUUUACACUGGGAUGGAAACCAAAAUGGCUUUGAACUACCAAGGGAAAUCUCAGAAAUGUUCUGCUGUUGAAAAAUCUAUUAAUGCCUUCUUGAUUGUUUAUUUAUUUAUCUUACUGACCAAAGCUGCAGUAUGCACAACUCUUAAGUAUGUUUGGCAAAGUUCCCCAUACAAUGAUGAACCAUGGUAUAACCAAAAGACUCAAAAGGAACGGGAAACUUUUCAGGUUUUGAAAAUGUUCACUGACUUUUUAUCAUUCAUGGUUCUUUUCAACUUCAUUAUACCUGUCUCCAUGUAUGUCACAGUAGAAAUGCAGAAAUUUUUAGGGUCAUUCUUUAUUUCAUGGGAUAAAGACUUUUUUGAUGAAGAAAUUAAUGAAGGAGCCUUGGUUAAUACAUCAGACCUUAAUGAAGAACUUGGUCAGGUGGACUAUGUAUUUACAGAUAAGACUGGGACACUCACUGAAAAUAGCAUGGAAUUCAUUGAAUGCUGCAUAGAUGGGCACAAAUAUAAAGGCACAACUCAGGAAGUUGAUGGAUUAUCUCAGACUGAUGGGCCCUUAGCCUAUUUUGAUAAAGCAGAUAAGAACCGAGAGGCACUCUUUCUCCGUGCCCUAUGCUUAUGUCACACUGUAGAAAUGAAAACAAAUGAUGAUGUUGAUGGACCUGUAGAAGGAGCCGGAUUCACAUAUAUCUCCUCCUCACCAGAUGAAAUAGCUUUGGUGAAAGGAGCUAAAAGGUUUGGGUUCACAUUUUUGGGAAAUCAGAAUGGAUAUAUCAGAGUAGAGAACCAAAGAAAAGAAAUAGAAGAGUAUGAACUUCUCCACACCUUAAAUUUUGAUUCUGUCCGCCGACGUAUGAGUGUAAUUGUAAGGACCCAAAAAGGAGAUAUUCUACUUUUCUGUAAAGGAGCAGAUUCAUCAAUUUUUCCCAGGGUACAUAGCCAUCAAAUUGAGUUAACCAAAGACCAUGUGGAACGUAAUGCAAUGGAUGGGUAUCGGACUCUUUGUGUAGCCUUCAAAGAAAUUCCUCCAGAUGAUUUUGAAAGAAUCAAUGCACAACUAGUAGAGGCAAAAAUGGCCCUACAAGAUAGAGAAGAAAAACUGGAAAAGGUUUUUGAUGAGAUUGAGACUAACAUGAAUUUAAUUGGAGCCACUGCUGUGGAAGACAAGCUGCAAGAUCAGGCUGCAGAGACCAUUGAAGCUCUCCAUGCAGCUGGCUUAAAAGUCUGGGUGCUUACUGGGGACAAGAUGGAAACAGCCAAAUCUACUUGCUAUGCCUGCCGCCUUUUCCAAACCAAUACUGAGCUCUUGGAACUGACCACAAAAACCAUUGAAGAGAGUGAAAGGAAAGAAGAUCGAUUACAUGAACUGCUAAUAGAAUAUCGUAAGAAGUUGCUGCAUGAAUUUCCUAAAAGCACUAGAAGCCUUAAAAAAGCAUGGACAGAACAUCAGGAAUAUGGAUUAAUCAUUGAUGGCUCCACAUUGUCACUCAUACUAAAUUCUAGUCAAGAUUGUAGUUCAAACAACUAUAAAAGUAUUUUUCUACAAAUCUGUAUGAAAUGCACUGCAGUGCUCUGCUGCCGGAUGGCACCAUUACAAAAAGCCCAGAUUGUCAGAAUGGUGAAGAACUUGAAAGGCAGCCCCAUAACACUGUCAAUAGGUGAUGGUGCCAAUGAUGUCAGUAUGAUUUUGGAAUCCCAUGUGGGAAUAGGUAUUAAAGGAAAAGAAGGCCGUCAAGCAGCCAGGAAUAGUGAUUAUUCUGUUCCAAAGUUUAAGCAUUUAAAGAAACUGCUAUUGGUUCAUGGACAUCUAUACUAUGUGAGAAUAGCACAUCUUGUACAAUAUUUCUUCUACAAGAACCUUUGUUUCAUUUUGCCACAAUUUUUGUACCAGUUCUUCUGUGGAUUCUCACAACAGCCACUCUAUGAUGCUGCUUAUCUUACAAUGUACAAUAUCUGUUUCACAUCCCUGCCCAUCCUGGCUUAUAGUCUACUGGAACAGCACAUCAACAUUGAUACUCUGACCGCAGACCCUCGAUUGUAUAUGAAAAUUACCGGUAAUGCUAUGUUACAGUUGGGGCCCUUCUUACAUUGGACAUUUCUGGCUGCAUUUGAAGGGACAGUAUUCUUCUUUGGGACUUAUUUCCUUUUUCAGACUUCAUCCUUAGAAGACAAUGGAAAGAUUUAUGGAAAUUGGACAUUUGGAACCAUUGUUUUUACAGUCUUAGUAUUCACCGUAACUCUGAAGCUCGCCUUGGAUACCCGGUUCUGGACAUGGAUAAAUCAUUUUGUGAUUUGGGGUUCUCUAGCCUUUUAUGUUUUUUUCUCAUUCUUCUGGGGAGGAAUUAUUUGGCCUUUUCUGAAACAACAGAGAAUGUAUUUUGUGUUUGCUCAAAUGCUCUGUUCUGUAUCCACAUGGUUGGCUAUAAUCCUUUUAAUAUUUAUCAGCCUUUUCCCUGAGAUUCUCCUAAUAGUUGUAAAGAAUGUUCGAAGAAGAAGUGCCAGGGUAACGAACCGCCUCCCUUCCUCAGGAACAUCUGCUAUCUUCAUGCUUUCUCAAACCUCCAGCAAUCACAGUUUCUCUUGGAGUGAAUAAGGUGACUUCCUUUCUUAAUGUCCCAGCUUGCUUGCCUUCCCACUGCCUGACACCACUUCUGACUCUUCAUAAAAAGUUAUUUCUCAUGAUUCAUUUUUAUAUUCUAUUAGUACUUAAAGUAUUUUAUCAUUUUCUUUUAAUCAUGUAUUCACCUUCUAAAUUGUCUUACUGGAGAGGGAGUAAUUUUCAAAAACUUAAACUAUAACUUUGUAAUUUGAGGUACGCAAUAUAGUAGCCAUGAUGUUAGAACUAGCCUGUUCACCAGGGCAAGAGUAUUUUGCAUAAAUGUCUCCGUUUUGACACACCCAGAGCACCAGCACAGCUGUCAGAGGUGUUCACCAAAAGGAUGGUAAGGUUCACUAAUCAAGCCAUAUUGACUCAUCUUACCAUAUAACCGACAAUGCCAUUCCAGAAACCCAAGUUUGCCACAUACUGCUAAUGUCUUUACUUCUACUACCAAAAAGAAAAAAGUUUGAGUUGGAGACUUUCUUGGUCCUUUAAAUGUAUUCAUUUGAAUGUUAUGCAUUUGCUGUAUAGUAAAAGUAAUUUGUACUUUGGGGCCAGGAAAGUAGUCUGUAGGAAAUGAUUUCAUUUUUUUCUCCUACAUUUUUAUCACCAGGUAGGUUAACCUAUCUUCAAAUGCUUUAAGUAUUUUUGCCUCACUAUUACAGAGAAAUCUGAGCUGUAGAAGGGCAUCUGACUCAUUAUCCGCCAGACCUUCAGUCAGACCUCUUCUUUUACGAACAUUCUCAGACGAAUCUAAUAUAUUGUAACAGAAUCCGAAUCUUGAACUGCCUAUGUUAUUGUCCUACAAGCAUAUUGACCGUGGUUGCAGCUAAAGAGAGAAAGCAUGAAGGAACAACUACAAAAGAUAUUAACUCAGGAUACUCAAUAUGAAACAAAGACCACUCUCAUGUGUAGGGUUCACAAUAAAUGUUCAUUAAAGUACCAAAUAACUCUCUUAACCAUUUACAGUUAUUGUAAGUAGCCAUUAUGGCCCAAGUGAGAAUUAGAUGAAAGUUUAAAGUAAGCAUACUUAGCAUUCUGGAUUUAGAUAGACUAAUGUAACUACAAAAUGGGUGCUCUUUUAACCCGCUGACUUUGUGAAUGGAUUUCAAUAAUAGUAUAAAGUAGAAGGCAUGCAAUGGGGAUGAGCAGGUUUGGCUAACCAGUGUUUCCUUCCGCCUGGCAGAAGUCGUAGACUGCUUGUCUCACCUCUCUCAUUCCUGCUCAAUGAUUAUCUUUUUUCCCACACACAAAAGGAAUACUUGAAAAUACAAGACUAAAUGAUAUUACUGCAUCAGACAAAAUACAUCAUCAUCUUUUCAGUCAUAGGCUAAUUGUCUUGGUCUAAUAUCCUUUCCAAAAAGUACCUUGCAUACUUGUGUGAUACUGUUAAUUCUGGGUAUUAUUGUAGAAACAAGGGUGGAAAGGUUAUUUGGUGUGUUUUCUUCUGAAUUACACACCACUUAUGUAUUUAAGACUACUAAACUUGAAAAUACAAUAUUUCAGUCUCUUGGUAGUAGCCCCUCAAAACAGUUAAGUAGAAAGAUUUCCAUCCAAUGUUAGUUUUGCUGGGUAACGUGGUAAGGUGUGUUAAAUAUUUACAUAAAAAUGAAUGCCAUUCUUAACACUGGCAUUUUAUAAUUCUAUGUGGCAAAGAUGGGAAGAAUAGCCUAUUUUCAACUACUAACGGUUUUUAUUUGAAAGAGAGUGUUUUUGUGCAUAUUUACAGCACUUUUUUUUUAAAAAAAGUUACCAAUUUGGAAAGAGGAGAUCUAUUCCAAAGCCCUGUAGAGCCACAACUCUUUGGACAUGAAUGUUGGUUCCUAUAGCUAAGUGGGCCAAGGAAAUGGUCUAUUUCUAAAUUAUGUGAUGGACCUUGGUAAGAUCCUCAAACUGCUGGACCAGAAAGAGGUUUUAGCCCCUAAUACGUUCUCUUAAAACAUGAAAGAAGUAUGAAAUGUCUUUACUUGAAAGAAGGACCACGUUUGACAGAUAGGCUAAAAUGAUAUUUAGAAAAUAUUUUUCUAUCAGUUUCCAUUUUUUUGUCUGACAUGCCUGUACUAUUUAAUGUUUAUAUUGUACUUUGAUUUAAGAACAUACUAGACUCAUUGUCUUCCAGUAUAUUUAUAUGUCCAUAUGGCACAUUUUGAUUCUUCCAUGUAUUUGUGUGGAUGUUUAUUUGGGUGUAUUUUUUCUUAAAUUCUAAAAAGGCCAUAAUUUCAGUUAUCAGAAAUUAUUCCAUAAUUACUUAAUUUAAUUUGUUCUCAUCUAUCAGUAUUACUUUUGAGUAUUUUGUUAGGUGUCAAUCACAGCUUAAGUGUGUGCUCUUGUAGCCUGUAUUUGAGGAAAUCUGCUGAAAGCAAAGUCUUUCUAUUCUUUGCCUAUUCCAAAGAGCUAAAACAUCUAACCCAGGAAAGCUUUGCUGCUUUGUUAUUGUUGUCAUUGUUGUUGCUGCUGUAUUAUUAUUUUACAUCAGAACUGUAAGGACUGUGAAUAAAUAUAAGAGCCAAGUAGAGAGGCUUAGUUAAUGCAGAAUGAUUGAGGAGAUGAUAAAAUCAAAAUAUUUAAGGUAGUAGAAAUAAAACUGAUUAUGUAUGACUUGUUGCAGCAGAAAGAAAUCUAGAUGAACAAAUGAGAAUUUAGAGUCAUGCCUCAGUUAACCAUUACAUUGUACACUGCACUUCAAAUCAGAGGAACCUGGGUUUGCUUUUUGAAAAAUUUUUAUUAGUGAUCUAAAACAUGGCUAGCAUGGGCUUAGCAGAUGAAGUUAUUUGAAAUGAGCCAUCCGAUAUUCCUAGCACUAUAUUUUAACUAUUCUUAUUUCAGAAGAGGGCAAGAAAUCUAACAGUAGGUCCAUAUUGCCAUAAUUUUAAUAAUAAUUUUUGAGCUAUCAAAAUGUCUAUGUAAUUUUCCAAAUUGUUGUCUAUUGUUUGAAGGUGUUGCCUAUUAAACAAAAAAUAUCCAUUCCAUAUCUACUACAUAUACACCAGCAACAGUAUAAAUGUAAGCCUAAAUUUGCAAAAGUCAUAAUUUAGUGAUGGAAUUUUUUAAUAACAUGCAGUAUAUAAAUGUGCAGAUUUUAUGCAAGUGUUGAUAAAAAUCAUUUUUCAGCUUGUAAAAUGGGACUGCAAUAUUACAUUUUUCACUUAAGCAGUUUUUUACAUCUACUUUGUUGCUUUCUAAAAUGACAUGAAUGCCAUCUUUUAUGAAUGCAACUUGCCUUUUUCGUUACAGAAACUUUCAUUUGAUGUAAUCAAUAAACUUUGGUAUGAUACAAUGGG